RNAcentral lists this unclassified non-coding RNA (292 nucleotides) under Hevea brasiliensis (rubber tree). The record is from RNAcentral. Lineage: Eukaryota; Viridiplantae; Streptophyta; Magnoliopsida; Malpighiales; Euphorbiaceae.
GUUCUGUGAAGCUUCUCAUGCAUUUCGAGUUUAAAUAACUUUGUAGAUCUUGAAAAGGGAGCUUUGCUAGUUUCAUCUAUGUGAAGCGUAGCAAAGUUUAUAAACUAUAUACAAGUUACAACCACAUGCAAAGUUGUAAGAUAUAUAUGUACCAUCAGAUAGAGUACACACAGACUGAUGGAAAUAAGGUUAGCAAAGUUUAUAAACUAUAUACAAGUUACAACCACAUGCAAAGUUGUAAGAUAUAUAUGUACCAUCAGAUAGAGUACACACAGACUGAUGGAAAUAAGGU